RNAcentral lists this ribosomal RNA (438 nucleotides) under uncultured bacterium. RNAcentral's name for it is "partial 16S ribosomal RNA". It matches the Rfam family "Bacterial small subunit ribosomal RNA", at positions 29 to 508 of the family's 1533-position model. The record is from RNAcentral.
AGCGAACGCUGGCGGCAGGCUUAACACAUGCAAGUCGAGCGGGCACCUUUCGGGGUGUCAGCGGCGGACGGGUGAGUAACGCGUGGGAACGUGCCCUCUGGUUCGGAAUAACUCAGGGAAACUUGAGCUAAUACCGGAUACGCCCUUUUGGGGAAAGGCUUGCUGCCGGAGGAUCGGCCCGCGUCUGAUUAGCUAGUUGGUGAGGUAACGGCUCACCAAGGCGACGAUCAGUAGCUGGUCUGAGAGGAUGAUCAGCCACACUGGGACUGAGACACGGCCCAGACUCCUACGGGAGGCAGCAGUGGGGAAUAUUGGACAAUGGGCGCAAGCCUGAUCCAGCCAUGCCGCGUGAGUGAUGAAGGCCUUAGGGUUGUAAAGCUCUUUUAUCCGGGACGAUAAUGACGGUACCGGAGGAAUAAGCCCCGGCUAACUUCGUGC